GGUGGACUGCACCCAGAGGAUUAUACACUGAAGUCCAAAUUAACAAGUGCAAGAAAAAAGGUGAUCAGGAGCACAAUCAGGCCUACGUUGUUGCCUGGAGGUCAGUUUUGUCCAGCCAACCACAGUGCCUCCCGUGGAGGUUCUGAAGCCUGCUUGUGGUCGAUGUUUUGUGAUCCAGAAUUUCGUUUAAGUUUUCUUUUGUUUUAUUUGUAUGUUAGGCUAAGUCCCAUUUUGGUUAUUUGUAAGUGAAGCGAUGUAAGAUUGUUGCUUAUAUGACGUCACGUUUAUCUAAUUAAAGUUUAAAA
This is a non-coding RNA of Camellia sinensis, 305 nucleotides long. The record is from RefSeq and is a predicted model, not a curated record. NCBI's taxonomy places the organism in Eukaryota, Viridiplantae, Streptophyta, Magnoliopsida, Ericales, Theaceae.